This 78-nucleotide transfer RNA is filed under the name Thermovibrio ruber. RNAcentral describes it as "tRNA-Glu". It matches the Rfam family "tRNA". From Rfam's summary of the family: Transfer RNA (tRNA) molecules are approximately 80 nucleotides in length. The record is from RNAcentral. Lineage: Bacteria; Pseudomonadati; Aquificota; Aquificia; Desulfurobacteriales; Desulfurobacteriaceae. RNAcentral also lists the same sequence under 2 other names.
GUCCCCGUCGUCUAGCCAGGCCUAGGACACCGGCCUUUCACGCCGGCGACGCGGGUUCGAAUCCCGCCGGGGACGCCA